CGGCGGACGGGUGAGUAACGCGUGGGUAACCUGCCUCAUACAGGGGGAUAACAGUUAGAAAUGACUGCUAAUACCGCAUAAGACCACAGGGCUGCAUGGCUCGGUGGUAAAAACUCCGGUGGUAUGAGAUGGACCCGCGUCUGAUUAGCUGGUUGGUGGGGUAACGGCCUACCAAGGCGACGAUCAGUAGCCGACCUGAGAGGGUGACCGGCCACAUUGGGACUGAGACACGGCCCAAACUCCUACGGGAGGCAGCAG
Molecule: ribosomal RNA, 258 nt
Filed under: uncultured bacterium
Lineage: Bacteria
Description: partial 16S ribosomal RNA
Rfam family: Bacterial small subunit ribosomal RNA
Source: RNAcentral